UUAGGUAAGUGAAGAGCUUUUGAGUGUUAGAUUCAUAUCUUGCAGAACUAGACCUGCACGACUUCAUGAACAAGUUGAAAAUGCUCUUCUGAGUGGAGAAAGUGACUGAUUUUGCUCAUUUGCCUUGUUUGCAAGACUGGUAUUUCAGGGUGGACAUUAUGAUAUAAUGUAGCCUGUACCUCUGGUAAGGUAAAAAGCUGUUCUUAGAGACUAAUUACUAUAUCUCAGUCUCAGAACUCGUCAGUGGUGCUGGCUGUGCUACAAGAGAAACCUUAAUAUCAGCUGUAGUCUCCACAAUGCAACAAAAUGAAUUAUAGGAUAUAUGCUCCUAGCUAAAGGUAUGGUUUGAAUGUGAUAUGCCAAGAUCCUUUAAAGAUAUUUCUGUCCUCUUGAAUUCACCAUGAACUUACACUAUUAAGGAACCUCACAAAUGGCACUCCUCAUUAACUCUACAAUGUUUAAAUUGUCUAUUUAACAAUUUUGUUCUCAGAACCUGAAACUGAUACAUCGCUGUUAAGAGAUUAUUUUCUACUUACACUAAUUGAGAUGCUGCAAAAGACUCAGGUAGGAUUGUGAAGGGAAGACUCUAAAGGCAGCACAGCAGCUUGAAAGAAGGUGGGUUUUUUUUUUCUUUUAAUCCUAUUUUGAUAUUAAAAUUGGGCUGUGAAAAUUUGUUCUAAAUUCUAGAGGGUCAGAAUUUAAAGUGAGAAAGUAAAUCAAUGUGGACAUAGUGGGAUGUUUUACUUCCAAAGAAGUAAAAUCUUAUAAAAACCAAAAUGGAAGGCAUAAAAUUACUUAUCAGUACUUUAGAUAAGUAAUUACCUAUAAAUCCAUCUAAUUUGAAUUAACAAGAAUAUGGAGAUCUGCUUUAUCAAGAUCUACAUCCAUAAUAGAAAUUUAUUUUAAACCUACAUUCUAACAAAUAGGUGUUGUAGAAAAACUCUUGAAGGUAUUUUAACUAACAUUUUUCCCAUUUUCUGAUCUUCUGGUUGUUCAUCAUUGGUGAGACAGUUUUGAAUUCAAUUGCUGAAGUUGAUAAGUAUUUGAGACAAAAGCAAUUAUCAGUUUUCCUUCAAUGCAAAUAAUCUUUCUUUUUCCUUUUCAGGUUUUGGCUUUGUGAGCUUGAAAAUCUGCAGUUUUGAUUCACAGCAAAGAAAAUUGAAGUUGGAAGUUUGCACAUGAACCAUAACAGUGCUGGUGAUUUAAAGGACAUCUGUCUUGGGACAAUACACCUUGAUGACUGACUCCAAAUGACUGUCCCCAUCAGAAAAUUUUCAGAGCAGACCAUGGAAAAUAGAUGAAAUGCUGAAGCUGCAGAAGGAGUCUCACAGGAUACAUGCCCAGGUGUGACUGAAGAGGAGAGCAGCACCCUGCCACCAGGACCUGGGCAGAGUUAGCCCUCUGGAUUAUGGUAAUGUUAACAAGCAGGACUUUGAAAGAUUAUCAGGUCCAUGGAAGGAAAAGAGAAUAAACUUGAAAUGUGGAGCAACAACAAAUGUGAAAUAGAAGAUAACCCUUGAUGAGAGCUCAGAGG
This is a long non-coding RNA of Melopsittacus undulatus (budgerigar), 1534 nucleotides long. RefSeq lists it as uncharacterized. Lineage: Eukaryota; Metazoa; Chordata; Aves; Psittaciformes; Psittaculidae. The transcript has 3 exons. The record is from RefSeq and is a predicted model, not a curated record.